GUCCUAUGUUAUGGCAUGUUUGCCAGACAUGUGUACUGAUGGACAGGAUAUUUGGAUGGCAUGGGUGCCUCUCAUUUGCUUUGAUAUCGUGGAGUGAUAUUUUCUAGAUCAUAUACUUAGACAGUUUGGCCUACAUCAAUCAAUACCACAGAUGUGCGACACAAGACUUGCUCUUCAUGGUAUAGACCGACGAGGCAGGUCCAACAUGGUUUAGGAUACUACACAUGCCACCUAUAUUGAGAGAUGAUACGAUCACCGACAUUAUAUUGUUUCUACUGAGCCUAUUAUUGGGAGUAUCUCAUGUAAUCGGGAGUACAUGGAGUGGUACCGAUCCAUUACUUGUUUAGUAGUGGGGAGGUCAAAUUAUUUAAAGCCUGAAUAUCAGAGUCAGGGAGAGAUGAUAAAGAUGGUGAUUGAUCAUUUGUCGGAUCUUAUGUUGGAUAUUCAUCAUGCUCUAUCUACGACUGAUGAGGAUGAGUGGACAUACGCCAGAUAUGAAAUAUACACUGUCAUCAUAUGUUCUACAUAUGCCAUCACCAUAUAUUUUGCAGAUGUCAUCGCCACAUGCUGCACAUAUGAUACCACCUUCUGAUCUAUGAAUGCCAGGGCCUUCAUCUUUCUAUGUGCUCCAGAUGGUGGCAUCGGAUCUCAGUUGGCAUUAUGAGUCUUCAUCUGAGUGGUCUGAAUAGUUGGGGACUAUUCGAGUCUCCUAUUAGUACGACUCUUUUGUUACAGGCCCAUUGUUGGAUCUAGAUGAGGGGGUCACUCAACUUGCAGAUGCUCUGACAGUAGCUGUUGAGAAGAUUGAUGGGGUUGAAGGGCCAUCAUAGGUGAUACAGGAGCAGGAGCGACCGUUGAAGAUCUUCCUGACAAGGUCCAAGCAAUCAUGGGCACCACAAUGUCUUGGUGAGACUUAGUAUUUUUUGGACUUGUACUUAGUAUUUUUUAGACUUGUAGUACUGUGGGAUUCCUUUUUGUAGACUUAAUAUUUUAAUUCUAUCUUAUAUUAUUAAUUAUUAUUUCUAUCA
This is a non-coding RNA of Elaeis guineensis (African oil palm), 1028 nucleotides long. Lineage: Eukaryota; Viridiplantae; Streptophyta; Magnoliopsida; Arecales; Arecaceae. The record is from RefSeq and is a predicted model, not a curated record.